This 468-nucleotide ribosomal RNA is filed under the name uncultured bacterium. Its description in RNAcentral is "partial 16S ribosomal RNA". It matches the Rfam family "Bacterial small subunit ribosomal RNA", at positions 28 to 507 of the family's 1533-position model. The record is from RNAcentral.
GACGAACGCUGGCGGCGUGCUUAACACAUGCAAGUCGAACGGGAAUGCCCUGCUUUUGUGGGGUGCUCGAGUGGCGAACGGGUGUGUAACACGUGUGUAACCUGCCCUUGACUUUGGGAUAACUUCAGGAAACUGGUGCUAAUACCGGAUAGGCGCUCCUGCUGCAUGGUGGGUGUUCGAAAGUUUCUGCGGUUGGGGAUGGCCUCGCGGCUAUUCAGAUUGUGGGUGGGUUAGUGGCUUACCAAGGCUUUGACGGGAAGCGGGCCUGAGAGGGUGACCGGGCACAUGAGGACUGAGAUACGGGCCAGACUCCUACGGGAGGCAGCAGUGGGGAAUAUUGCACAAUGGGCGGAAGCCUGAUGCAGCAACGCCGCGUGCGGGAUGACGGCCUUCGUGUUGUAGACCGCUUUCGCCUGUGACGAAGCGUGAGUGACGGUAAUGGGUAAAGAAGCACCGGCUAACUACGUG